This 450-nucleotide ribosomal RNA is filed under the name uncultured bacterium. RNAcentral's name for it is "bacterial SSU rRNA". It matches the Rfam family "Bacterial small subunit ribosomal RNA", at positions 29 to 526 of the family's 1533-position model. The record is from RNAcentral.
AGCGAACGCUGGCGGCAGGCCUAACACAUGCAAGUCGAGCGCCCAGCAAUGGGAGCGGCAGACGGGUGAGUAACGCGUGGGGAUGUGCCCAAUGGUACGGAAUAACCCAGGGAAACUUGGACUAAUACCGUAUGUGCCCUUCGGGGGAAAGAUUUAUCGCCAUUGGAUCAACCCGCGUCGGAUUAGCUAGUUGGUGAGGUAAAGGCUCACCAAGGCGACGAUCCGUAGCUGGUCUGAGAGGAUGAUCAGCCACACUGGGACUGAGACACGGCCCAGACUCCUACGGGAGGCAGCAGUGGGGAAUAUUGGACAAUGGGCGCAAGCCUGAUCCAGCCAUGCCGCGUGAGUGAUGAAGGCCUUAGGGUUGUAAAGCUCUUUCGCCGGUGAAGAUAAUGACGGUAACCGGAGAAGAAGCCCCGGCUAACUUCGUGCCAGCCGCCGCCGUAACAC